GGCUGGCGCGAGUACUCACGAACACUGUAUGGAGCUGGAGUGGACUGGUGUGCGGGCUCACCUAUGGCCUGUCGGAGGGGAUCCACGCAGAGGUUGGCAAGUCCUACUCCCAGCUGGCCAAGACCCCCUAGGUGAAGAAGAAAACAGUGAGACCAGACUGUAAAUCUGUCCUGAGCAUCACAGUGGAAUAUGACUCCUUCUGUCUGAAGGCUGGAACCAGGGGCUAGGAACACAUUUGGAGGAGGACAACUGUAAAAUUCAGGUAAUUAAGAGACAUCUCAACAGUGGACUUACUACAGGCUACUCAUCAAGUACAUGACAUAGACUCAUUCCCAUCCCCUGAAACCUGGAGGGAGACUCCCACUGUGCCAUUUAUGUCUGAACUUUCUUGGGAGUUCUAUGCUGCUGUCUCCCCCUCUAUAGUGUUAAUAAUUUUUCUGAUAAAUCUCUUACCCCAAAAGAACAAA
This 467-nucleotide long non-coding RNA is filed under the name Mus caroli (Ryukyu mouse). RNAcentral's name for it is "lncRNA (MGP_CAROLIEiJ_G0002888.1)". Lineage: Eukaryota; Metazoa; Chordata; Mammalia; Rodentia; Muridae. The record is from RNAcentral.